UAGUUGGUGAGGUAACGGCUCACCAAGGCAACGAUGCAUAGCCGACCUGAGAGGGUGAUCGGCCACAUUGGGACUGAGACACGGCCCAAACUCCUACGGGAGGCAGCAGUAGGGAAUCUUCGGCAAUGGACGGAAGUCUGACCGAGCAACGCCGCGUGAGUGAAGAAGGUUUUCGGAUCGUAAAACUCUGUUGUUAGAGAAGAACAAGGAUGAGAGUAGAAUGUUCAUCCCUUGGCGGUAUCUAACCAGAAAGCCACGGCUAACUACGUGCCAGCAGCCGCGGUAAUACGUAGGUGGCAAGCGUUGUCCGGAUUUAUUGGGCGUAAAGCGAGCGCAGGCGGUUUCUUAAGUCUGAUGUGAAAGCCCCCGGCUCAACCGGGGAGGGUCAUUGGAAACUGGGAAACUUGAGUGCAGAAGAGGAGAGUGGAAUUCCAUGUGUAGCGGUGAAAUGCGUAGAUAUAUGGAGGAACACCAGUGGCGAAGGCG
This 486-nucleotide ribosomal RNA is filed under the name uncultured bacterium. Its description in RNAcentral is "bacterial SSU rRNA". It matches the Rfam family "Bacterial small subunit ribosomal RNA", at positions 246 to 723 of the family's 1533-position model. The record is from RNAcentral.